This 2888-nucleotide ribosomal RNA is filed under the name Salmonella enterica subsp. enterica serovar Typhimurium. RNAcentral's name for it is "bacterial LSU rRNA". It matches the Rfam family "Bacterial large subunit ribosomal RNA". Lineage: Bacteria; Pseudomonadati; Pseudomonadota; Gammaproteobacteria; Enterobacterales; Enterobacteriaceae. The record is from RNAcentral. RNAcentral also lists the same sequence under 1 other name.
CCGAAUGGGGAAACCCAGUGUGAUUCGUCACACUAUCAUUAACUGAAUCCAUAGGUUAAUGAGGCGAACCGGGGGAACUGAAACAUCUAAGUACCCCGAGGAAAAGAAAUCAACCGAGAUUCCCCCAGUAGCGGCGAGCGAACGGGGAGGAGCCCAGAGCCUGAAUCAGCAUGUGUGUUAGUGGAAGCGUCUGGAAAGGCGCGCGAUACAGGGUGACAGCCCCGUACACAAAAGCGCAUGUGCUGUGAGCUCGAUGAGUAGGGCGGGACACGUGGUAUCCUGUCUGAAUAUGGGGGGACCAUCCUCCAAGGCUAAAUACUCCUGACUGACCGAUAGUGAACCAGUACCGUGAGGGAAAGGCGAAAAGAACCCCGGCGAGGGGAGUGAAAAAGAACCUGAAACCGUGUACGUACAAGCAGUGGGAGCACCCUUCGGGGUGUGACUGCGUACCUUUUGUAUAAUGGGUCAGCGACUUAUAUUCUGUAGCAAGGUUAACCGUAUAGGGGAGCCGGAGGGAAACCGAGUCUUAAUUGGGCGUUAAGUUGCAGGGUAUAGACCCGAAACCCGGUGAUCUAGCCAUGGGCAGGUUGAAGGUUGGGUAACACUAACUGGAGGACCGAACCGACUAAUGUUGAAAAAUUAGCGGAUGACCUGUGGCUGGGGGUGAAAGGCCAAUCAAACCGGGAGAUAGCUGGUUCUCCCCGAAAGCUAUUUAGGUAGCGCCUCGUGAAUUCAUCUCCGGGGGUAGAGCACUGUUUCGGCUAGGGGGCCAUCCCGGCUUACCAACCCGAUGCAAACUGCGAAUACCGGAGAAUGUUAUCACGGGAGACACACGGCGGGUGCUAACGUCCGUCGUGAAGAGGGAAACAACCCAGACCGCCAGCUAAGGUCCCAAAGUCAUGGUUAAGUGGGAAACGAUGUGGGAAGGCCCAGACAGCCAGGAUGUUGGCUUAGAAGCAGCCAUCAUUUAAAGAAAGCGUAAUAGCUCACUGGUCGAGUCGGCCUGCGCGGAAGAUGUAACGGGGCUAAACCAUGCACCGAAGCUGCGGCAGCGAACGUAUCACCCAAGACAACUUUACGGAGUUGACGAUUGACGGAGCGAAGCGACGUCAAAGCGUUCAUUAAAGUCGAGUUGGCUUAGGGAUACGUUCGUUGGGUAGGGGAGCGUUCUGUAAGCCUGUGAAGGUGUGUCGUGAGGCAUGCUGGAGGUAUCAGAAGUGCGAAUGCUGACAUAAGUAACGAUAAAGCGGGUGAAAAGCCCGCUCGCCGGAAGACCAAGGGUUCCUGUCCAACGUUAAUCGGGGCAGGGUGAGUCGACCCCUAAGGCGAGGCCGAAAGGCGUAGUCGAUGGGAAACGGGUUAAUAUUCCCGUACUUGGUGUUACUGCGAAGGGGGGACGGAGAAGGCUAUGUUGGCCGGGCGACGGUUGUCCCGGUUUAAGCGUGUAGGUGUGUGUUCCAGGUAAAUCCGGUUCACUUUAACACUGAGGCGUGACGACGAGGCACUACGGUGCUGAAGCAACAAAUGCCCUGCUUCCAGGAAAAGCCUCUAAGCAUCAGGUAACACGAAAUCGUACCCCAAACCGACACAGGUGGUCAGGUAGAGAAUACCAAGGCGCUUGAGAGAACUCGGGUGAAGGAACUAGGCAAAAUGGUGCCGUAACUUCGGGAGAAGGCACGCUGACACGUAGGUGAAGUGAUUUACUCAUGGAGCUGAAGUCAGUCGAAGAUACCAGCUGGCUGCAACUGUUUAUUAAAAACACAGCACUGUGCAAACACGAAAGUGGACGUAUACGGUGUGACGCCUGCCCGGUGCCGGAAGGUUAAUUGAUGGGGUCAGCGUAAGCGAAGCUCCUGAUCGAAGCCCCGGUAAACGGCGGCCGUAACUAUAACGGUCCUAAGGUAGCGAAAUUCCUUGUCGGGUAAGUUCCGACCUGCACGAAUGGCGUAAUGAUGGCCAGGCUGUCUCCACCCGAGACUCAGUGAAAUUGAACUCGCUGUGAAGAUGCAGUGUACCCGCGGCAAGACGGAAAGACCCCGUGAACCUUUACUAUAGCUUGACACUGAACAUUGAGCCUUGAUGUGUAGGAUAGGUGGGAGGCUUUGAAGUGUGGACGCCAGUCUGCAUGGAGCCGACCUUGAAAUACCACCCUUUAAUGUUUGAUGUUCUAACGUGGACCCGUAAUCCGGGUUGCGGACAGUGUCUGGUGGGUAGUUUGACUGGGGCGGUCUCCUCCUAAAGAGUAACGGAGGAGCACGAAGGUUGGCUAAUCCUGGUCGGACAUCAGGAGGUUAGUGCAAUGGCAUAAGCCAGCUUGACUGCGAGCGUGACGGCGCGAGCAGGUGCGAAAGCAGGUCAUAGUGAUCCGGUGGUUCUGAAUGGAAGGGCCAUCGCUCAACGGAUAAAAGGUACUCCGGGGAUAACAGGCUGAUACCGCCCAAGAGUUCAUAUCGACGGCGGUGUUUGGCACCUCGAUGUCGGCUCAUCACAUCCUGGGGCUGAAGUAGGUCCCAAGGGUAUGGCUGUUCGCCAUUUAAAGUGGUACGCGAGCUGGGUUUAGAACGUCGUGAGACAGUUCGGUCCCUAUCUGCCGUGGGCGCUGGAGAACUGAGGGGGGCUGCUCCUAGUACGAGAGGACCGGAGUGGACGCAUCACUGGUGUUCGGGUUGUCAUGCCAAUGGCACUGCCCGGUAGCUAAAUGCGGAAGAGAUAAGUGCUGAAAGCAUCUAAGCACGAAACUUGCCCCGAGAUGAGUUCUCCCUGAGACUUAGAGUCUCCUGAAGGAACGUUGAAGACGACGACGUUGAUAGGCCGGGUGUGUAAGCGCAGCGAUGCGUUGAGCUAACCGGUACUAAUGAACCGUGAGGCUUAACCUUACAACGCCGAAG